UCUUGAUUUCGUUGUAAAAAUUAAUUGCACCCGAAUUCACUUGGGUAUCAACUUUGACCCCUUAUGUCUCAGUCAUCCCUUGUUUUAUUUAUUUUUGCAAAAAAAUAAUUGCCGGUUUAUUUUCUAAAUGCAAACACGUCCUCGGGUAUGAUAAACUCGUAACGGAACUCCGCACGCUGUUCCAGUAGCUUCUUCUUUGGAUGAUGGGAAUAAAAAAAGAAAAAUGAUUCAGCAAUAACAGCAACCGACAACCAGCAAUAUAUUCCUCUUCCCUACCAUCAGCAACGGUCGCGUCCCAAUGGUUUUAGCUGCAUAUGGCUCAGAUGGCCCGAUGGUGGGGAUCGACCCAGAUAUCAGUCUUUCGAAGGCCCUACUACCCAACGGCACAACUUACCUGCCGAGCAGUUGCGGCGUCGAGUUAAUCGACGCUCGAGUAUAGAGCGUCGCGACGCGUCGUAUCGACGGAAACGUUAAAAAAAAAAUAAAAUAAAAUAAAUCGUGAACAGUCUUAAUAGAAUCCGCUAUUUUUACGUGAAUAAAAAUUAAAUUUUUUUUUAAUUAUUCAAAAAUCGAGUGCAGCCUGUUUACGUUUGUGCACAGUGAAUCCAAUCGGAUAAAAAAUUUGUGAUAACGGUACCUCAGUGAUAACCAUAUGAAAAUUUCGUAAAAUCGGGUACACCUUAACGAUUAAGGAAUUUCAUACUUGUUACGCAAAAGGAAUUGCGUACUUUGAUCAAAACUCCACCAGCAGGCAAACCUAGCCAACUGUGAAUUCUAUCGCAAGUAGCGGAAUGGCCACCCGAUAAAACACUUUGGAACGAAUUUCUCAUUCUCAAAGAGAGAGCCCACCAUUUCGAUUUUCUCGACCUUGUCAGAAUGGACAGUUAGCUCGUACCUAGUUCCUUGCACGUUCCCAUUUUUCGAUUUUUUUUUUUUUUUUUUUGGAUCGUCAGAAUCCAUAGUCGUAGCUGUAUAGUGUAUAUAAGCGAUAUGGGAUCCAGAUGAAAAUGAACCGGAGAAAAGUGAAGGCAGGUUCACAAGCCUGCGAGAAUAUUUUCUUAGGAAAGUUUUUUAGGCCUCUCCCAUUCGUAAGAUGAGAAUUUAGUCGACGCGAUAAUUAUAAUUAAACAUGCAUAUUGUUCUUCCGCUGUUUAUCCCACGAGAGUCCUUCGCUUCGUUUCUUUCUCACGGCUCCCGUAGAGGAGAGUCGUGUGCCUGAGGUCGUGAUGACGAUGACGAUCAUCACAAUGAUUAUGAUGAUUGUAGUGGUGCCGGCGAUUAUGGUAAAAACGAAAAUGAACUGUGAGCGAAAAUGAGCUACUUCAUCCGUGCCGGGACGAGUGCAUGGGUACUUUGUUGAGUUUGUAUAAAAUUUUCACGCAGCUUCCCACAAUCAGCUGCAUCUUCAGUGAGAUCGUUAUGAAUUUUUAUAUGGAUCUUCCCGGGAUUUCUCCUGAAACCAAUUUUUUUUUUUUUUUUUUUUUUUUU
Molecule: long non-coding RNA, 1488 nt
Organism: Cephus cinctus (wheat stem sawfly)
Lineage: Eukaryota; Metazoa; Arthropoda; Insecta; Hymenoptera; Cephidae
Exons: 2
Source: RefSeq, a predicted model, not a curated record